AGCUAGAGUUGAUCCUGGCUCAGGACGAACGCUGGCGGCACGCUUAACACAUGCAAGUCGAACGGGGAUAAUUUGAGUUUACUUAGAUUAUCUUAGUGGCGGACGGGUGAGUAACACGUGAGCAACCUGCCUUUGAGAGAGGGAUAGCUUCUGGAAACGGAUGGUAAUACCUCAUAACGUAGUUUUACCGCAUGGUAGUACUACCAAAGAUUUAUCACUCAAAGAUGGGCUCGCGUCUGAUUAGAUAGUUGGUGAGGUAACGGCUCACCAAGUCGACGAUCAGUAGCCGGACUGAGAGGUUGAACGGCCACAUUGGGACUGAGACACGGCCCAGACUCCUACGGGAGGCAGCAGUGGGGAAUAUUGCACAAUGGGGGAAACCCUGAUGCAGCGAUGCCGCGUGGAGGAAGAAGGUUUUCGGAUUGUAAACUCCUGUCUUAAAGGACGAUAAUGACGGUACUUUAGGAGGAAGCUCCGGCUAACUACGUGCC
Molecule: ribosomal RNA, 491 nt
Filed under: uncultured organism
Description: SSU rRNA
Rfam family: Bacterial small subunit ribosomal RNA
Source: RNAcentral